CCUUACCAACCCAAUCAGACGGACGAAAACGGACUAGUAUUUAAGAUGAAAAAGUUGCAUCUUGCACAAUCAUCCGCCACUCGAAACUCAGACCUGCCGACUUGGGGACAAGUGAAACGCCUGACUGCCGCUGCUGAACACCUGGUGAACAGCUCCGGAAAACCUAAAACCCCAGAGGCUUUGUUUUUUGCAUUGAUUGCUCUCAUUUCAACUCAGUCGUCCUCCGAGUAAUCCUCAGACUAGUCAA
Long non-coding RNA from Sciurus carolinensis (gray squirrel), 247 nucleotides. RefSeq lists it as uncharacterized. The record is from RefSeq and is a predicted model, not a curated record. Lineage: Eukaryota; Metazoa; Chordata; Mammalia; Rodentia; Sciuridae. The transcript is spliced from 2 exons.